RNAcentral lists this transfer RNA (73 nucleotides) under Pseudomonadota bacterium. RNAcentral's name for it is "tRNA-Phe". It matches the Rfam family "tRNA". Rfam says of the family: Transfer RNA (tRNA) molecules are approximately 80 nucleotides in length. Their secondary structure includes four short double-helical elements and three loops (D, anti-codon, and T loops). Lineage: Bacteria; Pseudomonadati; Pseudomonadota. RNAcentral also lists the same sequence under 4 other names. The record is from RNAcentral.
GGCGAGGUAGCUCAGUUGGUAGAGCACCGCACUGAAAAUGCGGGUGUCGGCGGUUCAAGUCCGCCUCUCGCCA